GAUGAACGCUGGCGGCGUGCUUAACACAUGCAAGUCGAACGAGAAAUGUAGACGGAAACCUUCGGGCGGAAGCCUUCAUUUCGAGUGGCGGACGGGUGAGUAACGCGUGGGUAACCUGCCUCAUACAGGGGGAUAACAGUUGGAAACGACUGUUAAUACCGCAUAAGACCACAGCAUCGCAUGAUGCGGGGGUAAAAACUCCGGUGGUAUGAGAUGGACCCGCGUUCGAUUAGCCAGUUGGCGGGGUCACGGCCCACCAAAGCGACGAUCGAUAGCCGAUCUGAGAGGAUGACCGGCCACAUUGGGACUGAGACACGGCCCAAACUCCUACGGGAGGCAGCAGUGGGGAAUAUUGCACAAUGGGGGAAACCCUGAUGCAGCGACGCCGCGUGAGUGAAGAAGUACUUCGGUAUGUAAAGCUCUAUCAGCAGGGAAGAAAAUGACGGUACCUGAGUAAGAAGCCCCGGCUAACUACGUG
This 478-nucleotide ribosomal RNA is filed under the name uncultured bacterium. RNAcentral describes it as "partial 16S ribosomal RNA". It matches the Rfam family "Bacterial small subunit ribosomal RNA", at positions 28 to 507 of the family's 1533-position model. The record is from RNAcentral.